This 496-nucleotide ribosomal RNA is filed under the name uncultured bacterium. RNAcentral's name for it is "partial 16S ribosomal RNA". It matches the Rfam family "Bacterial small subunit ribosomal RNA", at positions 28 to 507 of the family's 1533-position model. The record is from RNAcentral.
GAUGAACGCUGGCGGCGUGCCUAAUACAUGCAGGCGAGCGAACGGACGAGGAGGCUGCUUUCCUGAUGUUAGCGGCGGACGGGUGGGUAAAACCUGGGUAACCUACCUAUAAGACCGGGAUAACUUUGGGAAACCGGAGCUUAAAACGGAAAAUAAUUUUAAACGCAUGGUUCAAAAGUGAAAGACGGUCUUGCUGUCAACUUAAGAAGGAACCGCGGUGCAUUGGCUAGUUGGUAAGGUAACGGCUUACCCAGGCAACGAUGGAUAGCCGACCUGGUAGGGUGAUCGGCCACACUGGAACGGAGACGCGGUCCAGACUCCUACGGGAGGCAGCAGUAGGGAAUCUUCCGCAAUGGGCGAAAGCCUGACGGAGCAACGCCGCGUGAGUGAUGAAGGUCUUCGGAUCGUAAAACUCUGUUAUUAGGGAAGAACAUAUGUGUAAGUAACUGUGCACAUCUUGACGGUACCUAAUCAGAAAGCCACGGCUAACUACGUG